Molecule: long non-coding RNA, 3886 nt
Filed under: Sus scrofa (pig)
Lineage: Eukaryota; Metazoa; Chordata; Mammalia; Artiodactyla; Suidae
Description: lncRNA (ENSSSCG00000048896.2)
Source: RNAcentral
ACAGCGUCGCCUUCCCGGCCGCCGCCCCGACGCCGGCCGCUCCCCGCCGCGCCCGCAAGUCCCCGCCGAGACCCCACCAAGUCCCCGCGCCGCCGUGCACAGCCGUCGAGGGGCUAUCGUCCGACCAGGAGCUCGGCCCGUCGGGUCCGAGGCCCGACCCAGCUCUCGGUGCUGGCGCUGUGAACGCGCGCUCCCCGCUUGGCUCCCGAGGGCGGUGGGCCCUCGGACUCCGCUGUGAGGAUCCCUCAUCCCUGUACUUGACCGAGCUCCGCGGGGGGUUGGAGCUAGGGCUCGCCUUCCCCGCGUUCCUUUUCACCAGAUUUGACUGAUUUCCUGCCCAGAAAAUUGCUACAAGGUCAAACGGGGAACUGGCCCGCACCCUGGCCUGUUAAGCAGGUCCGGGAACCCCAGUCUCACCGACGCUGAAGGAAUUUCUGGGGGCCUUUCAGGGCGCUGUAGGGUGAAUUCAAGUCGUGUGAGAAUUUGAUAGUGAUUUCAGUCUGAUGCAUCUUAGAGUACUUCCUUCCUUGAAAACUUCCAGACAACUGUUCCUCCUCUUCACAAAUAAUUUUUCCUCCGAAUUAUUGCCUUUUCAUUUUAAAAUAAGAUAAAAGAAAGAUUUGGACCCCGGGCACAAGUUUUGUAAUUUGGCUUGGAAUGAAUAUCCAGACUGCUCUUUUCUAGCGUGAAGCAAACUAACUGGAUGUCAUUAUAUCCAGGAGGAUGAGGGGACUGUCCCUGAAAACCUUGCCCAGUCCACCUUUUAUUUUCCUGCUGGGAAGGUAUUUCUUAUCAUUCAUACCGCUGUGGAACGCUAAACAUGUGUUUUCCUAGAGCCACUCACGGCAGAGCAGUUCAAAAAUAACUUUUAAUGUGAUCAUUUUAGGAGAGGUGGAGUAACAGGAAAAUAACAUAAAGUAAAAGCUCAUGAGUUUAUUACUCCGCAAGUUAUGAUUUCUGGUGGUCUAAUGUGGUUUAAAUAAAGGUAGGUAUGCUAGCUACUAUUAAUUUUAAAGUCUAGGCCUCUGAGCCGAGGUUGUCCCUUUGAAUAAACCUCCAGUGGCACUGUUCUCUCCUGUCUCACUGAAAUGCUAGGAUGGCACAUGGGCAAUAAAGCUGGCUAGCAAAAUAUCAGAGGAUCUACUAUGAAACUUCUGUAAUGUCUUCCGGAUGGUAUUUCCUGUUUGCUCAACGUGUUGUGAAAGGUUUAAGAAAUUUAAUGUCAUCCUCAGACUAUUAAUACUUAGUAAUUUUCAUACUAUUACUAAUAUUUGUGUCUUUGGGUAUUUGGAAGACUUGAGUCCUGUUCCGUAUCUGCCUUUAGAAAGGACAAGCUUGAUUAGGUUGCUUCAUAUCUCUCUGGACCUGAAGUAACUUAUCAGUAAAGAUCAUUGCCUGCUUCUGUCUGACAUUAAAAUAGCAAUUGAGGAAUUGCCAUAAUUCUUUGAAUUUGUCCUGUCUGGAAUGCUGACGAAGUUAAAAUUGCUGAUCAGUAACAAAGGAGAAUGGAGAAAAUAAUAAUAAUAACAGACAUUGUUAGAUUCUGAAAUAUUUUGAGGCCUUGUGUUUCUAAAAUGUUCCUUAUUUUUAAGUCAAUUUCUGGUGUAUAUGUAAAAUGGCAAAUUUUCAUUCUAUGGAAAAACUUUGUAAGGAGUUCAUGUGCCCAAGCUUGGUUAGGCAGAUACUAGAUUUCAGAAUUCUUUAAUUAUUACAUCUCAAGAAAUGUAACUUUGUAAUAUGGAUUACUUUAAAUCUUAAGCACAGUAUUUACUAGGUUAUCUGUUAUCCAUUAAAUAUUUUGUAUGAGAAAAAUCCUGAGAAUGUAUACCAAUCACCUGCUAUUUUUGCCCUUUUUUCACUUGUAAAUAAAAAGUUCUAGAUAUUUUUAUAUUAUAGGAAUGAGCUGUGGGAGUUCCCUGGUGACUCAGUACGUUAAGGAUGUGGCAUUGUCACUGCCAUGGUGUGGGUUUGAUUCCCUGGCCCGGGAACUUCUGCAUGCUGCAGGUGCAGCCAAAAACCAAAAAUAAAUUUAAAUAUAUUAAAAAAAAGAAUGAGCUACUUAUAAUAUUUGUUGCCAUAAGUGUCUGUGUUUGAUAUGCCACUUUGAUUGAUGUAGCUUUGUAGUAUUGUAUGAAGUUUGGGAGGGUUAAGCCUCCUGCUUUGUUCUGUUUACUGAGGCUUGCUUUAGCAGUUCUGGGGCUUUUAUGGUUCCACAUAAAUUUUAGGAUUAUUAGUUCUAGUUAUGUGAGAAAUGUCAUGGGUAACUUGAUAGGAAUUGCAUUAAAUCUGUAGGUUGCUUUGGGUAGUAUGACUGUUUUAACAAUAUUAAUUCUUCUAAUUCAGGAGCAUGGGUUAUUUUUCUGUUUCUUUGACCAGCUUCAAUUUCCUUUAUUAAAAAUGUUUUGUAGUUCUCGGCAUAUGUCUUUCACCUCCUUGGUAAGGUUAAUUUCUAAGAUGCCUUUUUUUUUUUUUUUAAUGUGAUUUUAGAGGGAUUAUUUGUUUACAUUCUCUUUCUGAUAUUUCACUGUAAGUGUAAAGAAGUGCACUUGGCAACCGAUUUCUGUAUGUUAAUCUUCUAUCUUGCUGAAUUCAUUUAUCAGUUCUGGUGGUUUUCAUGUGGAGUCUUUAGGAUUUUCUAUGUAUAGUAUCAUGUCAUCUGCAUGAUAAUACCACUUUGAACUUCUUUAAACCAUUCUGCUUUCAAAAAGCAUUAUUAUUUCAAUUUAUUUCUAAUCCUCUUCAAUUUUAUUUUAUUUCUUUUUAUACCUAAUAUCUUCUAGCAAGUCCCUGAAUCUUAUGAUAAGUUUGUGUUUCAUAGUCUAUCACACCAAAAUAUUUAUAACUGUAUAGGACCUAUGGACUUUAUUUGAUAAGCAAUAGAAUGAUUUUAAGAAUUCUGGCCUAAAUGUAGAACACAUAUUAUUAUUAACAUAAUAUUUUCAGUAUGAAAAAAAUAUAUGUUUUAUGGCAGUUUUGUCAUCCUAAAGUGGCAAGAAACUUAAAGUUUAGGACCUAAUAAGUGCCAGGAUUUAAAGUAUUAGAUUGGCACGCUGGUUGUGUAGAGAGGUUUACAUGUAUUACAGUUGUAAUUGUCAUGAGAAAUGACUUUUAGAGGAAGUUUGCUAUAUAUCUGGAAAGGACAACAAUUAUAUUUCUCUUGAGAAGAGAGAAUAGCAGCAGUGAGGAAUGACAUUGAACUGUUCUUUCAUCAGUUAAGUGGCUAGAUUGUACAUAUAGCAUGACAAGGCAGUGUCUGAAAAUGGCAUCUUAGGGACUAAUGGAUGUGACCCACCAUCACUGCCUCCCCAUCACCUAGCCAAAUCCCUGGCAUCAUGGUGGGACUCAGGUAGUGUUUCCUAAAUGUACAGAUAUAUCAGUUCCACUUCUGAUAUGUUCCAUCCAUAUGCUGUAAGCCCCUGAAACCCAGCUGGCUCCAUUGGUACCAACACUGAUGCUUGAGCAGGCAGAGAGGUAGCACCACUCCCAGGCACCACACCUUCUCAGCACAUAUUCUAGAGCUUGAAUUCAUGACUCUAUUUACAAACAUUUCCUGAACAUCAUCUAGGUACUUGAAUCAUUAAGAAUCAGAUUAUAAGAGCUAUUGUCUUCUCUGUCAGCUUAGUUUCUUUUUUAUCACCAAAUGUUAAUCAUAAAUAAUACAUAUAAUUACUUAGCUUAUACUGUGUACCAGGCCCUGUGCUAACUAAUUUUGAUGUGUCAUUUCAUUAAUCCUCACAUCCUGGGCUUAUACUGUUAUUGUUCCCUUUUAUCAUUGAAGAAAUGAAAGCACAGACAGGGUAAGAAACUUACCCAGGGAGUAAGAAGUAGAGCUGACCUUUGAACUGAGCCAGUAUGACACCAGCACUCAAGAUGCUGUACCAAGGAC